GGAGGUUCUAGCAGGGGCUGCCUUCUCGUAUACCCUUGACCCGAAGAGCGGUUUUACUCCCUUCUAUCUGGGAUGGUCGUCCUCUUCCACCGAGCGCGCAGCUUCGGGAGGGACGCACAUGGAGCGGUGAGGGAGGACUGCAAAACAUACG
Long non-coding RNA from Sphaerodactylus townsendi, 151 nucleotides. RefSeq lists it as uncharacterized. The transcript is spliced from 3 exons. Lineage: Eukaryota; Metazoa; Chordata; Lepidosauria; Squamata; Sphaerodactylidae. The record is from RefSeq and is a predicted model, not a curated record.